UGGGGAAUUUUGGACAAUGGGCGCAAGCCUGAUCCAGCCAUGCCGCGUGAGUGAAGAAGGCCUUCGGGUUGUAAAGCUCUUUCGGCGGGGACGAAACGGUUCGUGACAACACCACGGACUAAUGACGGUACCCGCAUAAGAAGCACCGGCUAACUACGUGCCAGCAGCCGCGGUAAUACGUAGGGACCAAGCGUUGUUCGGAUUUACUGGGCGUAAAGGGCGCGUAGGCGGCAAUUCAAGUCAUCUGUGAAAUCUCCGGGCUUAACUCGGAACGGUCAGAUGAUACUGCUUUGCUAGAGUGCAGAAGGGGCAAUCGGAAUUCUUGGUGUAGCGGUGAAAUGCGUAGAUAUCAAGAGGAACACCUGAGGUGAAGACGGGUUGCUGGGCUGACACUGACGCUGAGGCGCGAAAGCCAGGGGAGCAAACGGGAUUAGAUACCCCAGUAGUCCCUGAGCGGGCUGGCAAGGCGCAU
Molecule: ribosomal RNA, 472 nt
Filed under: uncultured bacterium
Lineage: Bacteria
Description: bacterial SSU rRNA
Rfam family: Bacterial small subunit ribosomal RNA
Source: RNAcentral